This 257-nucleotide ribosomal RNA is filed under the name uncultured bacterium. RNAcentral describes it as "partial 16S ribosomal RNA". It matches the Rfam family "Bacterial small subunit ribosomal RNA", at positions 524 to 776 of the family's 1533-position model. The record is from RNAcentral.
GACGAACCGUGCGAACGUUGUUCGGAUUCACUGGGCUUAAAGGGCGCGUAGGCGGGCGGUCAAGUCAGGGGUGAAAUCUUUCGGCUCAACCGGAAAAGUGCCUUUGAUACUGGCCGUCUCGAGGGAGGUAGGGGCAUGCGGAACUUCCGGUGGAGCGGUGAAAUGCGUAGAUAUCGGAAGGAACGCCGGUGGGCGAAAGCGGCGUGCUGGACCGUCUUCUGACGCUGAGGCGCGGAAAGCCAGGGGAGGCAAACGGG